Molecule: ribosomal RNA, 439 nt
Filed under: uncultured bacterium
Lineage: Bacteria
Description: partial 16S ribosomal RNA
Rfam family: Bacterial small subunit ribosomal RNA
Source: RNAcentral
CUACGGGGUGCACCAGUGGGGAAUAUUGCACAAUGGAGGAAACUCUGAUGCAGCAACGCCGCGUGGAGGAUGACACUUUUCGGAGCGUAAACUCCUUUUAUAUAGGAAGAAGAUGACGGUACUAUAUGAAUAAGCGCCGGCUAACUCCGUGCCAGCAGCCGCGGUAAUACGGAGGGCGCAAGCGUUACUCGGAAUCACUGGGCGUAAAGGGCGUGUAGGCGGAUUAAAAAGUCAGAAGUGAAAUCCUAUAGCUUAACUAUAGAACUGCUUCUGAAACUCUUAAUCUAGAAUAUGGGAGAGGUAGAUGGAAUUUCUGGUGUAGGGGUAACAUCCGUAGAGAUCAGAAGGAAUACCGAUUGCGAAGGCGAUCUGCUAGAACAUUAUUGACGCUGAGACGCGAAAGCGUGGGGAGCAAACAGGAUUAGAUACCCUAGUAGUC